Molecule: long non-coding RNA, 3159 nt
Organism: Rhea pennata
Lineage: Eukaryota; Metazoa; Chordata; Aves; Rheiformes; Rheidae
Exons: 2
Source: RefSeq, a predicted model, not a curated record
ACAAGAACUAAAAAAAAAAAAGAGGGAGAGAAAAGAAAAAUAGAAAUAUACAGAAAAUAUUCAAAUCUUAUAAAUAUAGCUUCUUGGAAAAAGAGAGAGCCCAGUGUUGUUGCGCUGUGCUGGCAACGCUCCUGAAGCACUGACUUGUUUUUUAACUCAGUCCCUGUGCUUUUUUCCUACUCACUUUUUUACUCCUUUAAUGAGUCUUGGGUUUUUUGGUUUGCGUUCACCUUUCCCCUGCCCCAGCCCAGGAGUGGUGCAAACAUAGGUCACGAUGCUCCUGCCUAACUGCACUCUUCCCAGCACUGGACAGUUGAUCCUUCUACCUGGGUGUAGAGAUGGCUUUGUUCUGGGCUGUGUCCCCAGACACCUACUGCCUUGCUGGAGGCUGGGGGAGGAAAAGGGACAGGAUGAGUCAGUGUUGGCGGAGGUGCAUGCUCUUCUUGAGUGCUAGCCAGAAAUGGGUGAGUGGGCUUGCUUUUCUGUUACGGCUCUGCGUUCUGAGUGUAGACCGAGAGCAUCUACCCUGCCCACUGGCUGAGACUGCUGUGCUGUUGCUUGAAGCUCCACAGACCGGGCUGGCAUCAGCUGUUCUGUUUGUAUGCUGAAAAGCACUAACUCUUUUUUUACCGUCUCCCAGCAAAUAGCAGGGAGGCCAGAGCAUUACUGUGAAAUGGCUUCUUCCUGCUCCCCUCCUCAUCUGCACUUCCAGCCAUGGAGGGAAGCUGCAGAAGAGCAGCACUUUGGACUACGUGACUCUGGUUAUAAUCCCCUUCUGCAUGUGAGCAAAAAGAGGCCUUUUCGUGGCUUCUUUGGGCCAGGUGGUUGGUUCAGAUGACAACCCUGUGGUGUAAAAACACUACGCGCGUGUCGCUGCUGUGUGUGGGAGGUGGUGCUGAGCCAGGCAGCUGCACUUGGAUCCUGCCCCCACUUUGUGUACUUCCUCCGCACCAGCAAGGGCAGCAUCCACUGAUGGUCAUUUGGGGCAAUCUUCUGAGUUGGCGUUCUCAUUCCCUGCUGUGGAUUACCUUUUUAAUCUUUGAGAGGGAAUUCCUUUCUUUUUAGUUAGAGAGGCAGCACUGCUUUUGGGGAGGAGAAAGGGCUAUGUUGUUGAAGCUGUUCUCUUGAAUGAUAGCCUAAGGGUUUGUGCUUUCAGUUAGGAAUAAAUCUGACUAAAUCCCCUCUUCUGCCCUUCUGGAGGAGUGGGAGGAGGUGGCUGAUCUGGUGCAGAAGGGAAGCGCCUAGUGUAAAUUCGUCAUUCCAACCAGAUCAUGUCGGUGCAGAUGGUGGCAGGCUUACUGCAGGGCAGGGACGGACGCUCUGAAGCUGAGCGGGUGUCCGCAUGUGUGAACCUACAGCGGGAGAGCCAGAAUCUGGGAAUGCCCCUGCAGCUUUUUCUGAGGCUGAUGUGCUGCAGCAGGCUAGUAAUGGCUUUUCAGCUAGGUCACUUCUGUGCCCGGAGCCCACCUGCAGGAGGAAGUGUGGAGGGCCUCUUUCUGCCCAGGCUGGGCUGGUGGCUCCCUCGAUGGGAAGGAGUCUUCCUUGGAGGCUGUUGUGAGAGUAUGGAAGAGUGCAAAGAGGAGUGAGACAGAGAUGAGGCUCCAAGAAGUUCUUUGUUUUGUGUUUUUUAAAUCUUUCUGCUGCCUCCCAAGUGUGGGGCUUUGGUUUUCUUCUAAGCAUGUCUCUGGAGCACCUUCAGAAACCUGCUUCUGCUUAUCUGUUGAAAGCUAGUAAGCUCUUUCCAGGCAUCCCUCCUUCAGGGGAGGGGAACUCAUGCUUUCCCCUCUCUCUUCCCUGAAGCUGAGAUAGAGGCGCUCCGACCCUCUUGUACUUGUGUUGCCAAUGAGCCUUCGCAGGGGAAAGGAGAUGUCCCGGGGAGACUGCCGCUACCCAUAUCUCAUUAAGGAGAAUUUCCAGUGUGCCCCUUUUCCUCGCUGGGCGACUGGAAGAGGCCUGGUCCCAACCUUGUGCCCAGCAUCGGUUCCCGAGCAGGCUGCUUGCUGCUGUCAAGCCAUGACCAACACAGCAGGAGUUUGCUGCUGAUGGCCAGCCAGCGUGCCGCGCUGGACCGAGGAGCGCUCGGCCUGCGGUCGCGGGGUCCCAGCUGGCAUCCUGGCUCAGGCGCCUCCAUUCCUUCCACCGCUCCCACAUCUCCUGGCAAAGCCUUCUGUGAACCGCUGCAGUGGGACAGUGUUGCCCUCCUCAGGGGUAGGAAGGGGGGGGGGAGGUGGGAUGCCCCCAGCCACCUGCUUAUGUGUGUGAAGCUUUGAUGCCGCUUUGCCCUGCCACACGUAUUAUACCUGCUUUAAAAAUAGUGUGCGUGGAAGGAGGAAAAGGGGAGGGACCAACCUCUUUGUAUCUUAAAGGAAAAAAGCGUGCUUCAGAAACGUUCCUCCAGCGUCAGGCAGCAAUGGAAACUAACGGCCUUUUGGGGUCUUUUCUAGUCUUGGAUGUAGACGUUCAGCUUCAAUUUUAUUUUUUAAAACCUGCACUAAUUUACCUGGUUUCUUAGGAAGAGAAGAGAGAUUUUUUUUUUAACUUUUAUUUUUUAUGGGUUUGUGUUCUUUUUGUUGAUGUCCGUUUGUAUUGAAUAAUUUGCUACAUUUGUAAAAUGUAAGAGGUAUAUAUAAUAUAUGUAUAUUUCUAACGUAAAAAAAUUGUAAUUUUUUUCUUUUCAAGAUUUUUUCUUAAAAAGAGGAGAGAAAAAUAUUUUUUCAGGAAAAAAACUUUAAAAAAAAGAAGCAGUGAAGAUUCCUUUCUCCCCACUCAGCCUCCCUCCUUUCCCUCCCAGCCCUCUCUGAGGAGUGAAUUGACAGUCGUCUUGUGGAGAGAAUGAGUGAAAGAGGACAGAAGUCUGUAUGUCUCUGAGUGGAGGGUUUCUGUGUGUGCUCUGCUUGGGUUUCUUUCCAAGAAGGGGGCUACUGAGAGGGGGAACCAGGAGGUUGCUGUCUUUUUUUCUUUCUUUUUUUUUUUUUUUCUUUAGCGAAGGAGGAAUACAAUCAGAGUUUUGUAUUCAGAAUGUUGUGCAAUAUUUUGGAACGGGACAUUGGUGUGUCUAGAGAUUUAGUUAAAAACAAAAACAAAAAAGGUUGAUCAAAUCUGUACAGUUUCUAUUGUUCCAGAUUUUUUUAAGUUUGUAUUAAAAGCAUGAUACAAUAA